This is a small nucleolar RNA of Lemur catta (Ring-tailed lemur), 105 nucleotides long. RefSeq annotates it as small nucleolar RNA U13. The record is from RefSeq and is a predicted model, not a curated record. NCBI's taxonomy places the organism in Eukaryota, Metazoa, Chordata, Mammalia, Primates, Lemuridae. The transcript has a single exon.
AUUCUUUUGUGGUUCAUAAGCAUGAUUGGCUGGGUGUUCAUGCAUAUGUGUGAGAUGUGCCUCCCUCAAAUCUUGUUACGACAUUGGCACCAUACCCGUCUGACG